This 297-nucleotide ribosomal RNA is filed under the name uncultured bacterium. RNAcentral's name for it is "partial 16S ribosomal RNA". It matches the Rfam family "Bacterial small subunit ribosomal RNA", at positions 789 to 1084 of the family's 1533-position model. The record is from RNAcentral.
GGUAGUCCACGCUGUAAACGAUGGGCACUAGGUGUGGGGGGUGUCGACUCCCUCCGUGCCGAAGCUAACGCAUUAAGUGCCCCGCCUGGGGAGUACGGCCGCAAGGCUAAAACUCAAAGGAAUUGACGGGGACCCGCACAAGCAGCGGAGCAUGUGGUUUAAUUCGACGCAACGCGAAGAACCUUACCUGGGCUUGACAUGUUCUUGACAGCUCUGGAAACAGAGUCUCCCUUCGGGGGCAAGAUCACAGGUGGUGCAUGGCUGUCGUCAGCUCGUGUCGUGAGAUGUUGGGUUAAG